Molecule: non-coding RNA, 290 nt
Organism: Cinara cedri
Lineage: Eukaryota; Metazoa; Arthropoda; Insecta; Hemiptera; Aphididae
Source: the annotation of a GenBank genome assembly
UUCGAUUAGAGAUACAGGCAGAUGGUGGCGAAACUCCCCAAGUUCGGGUUUGGCACCUUUAUACGCGCAUGUGUCCACGUGCCCACCCUUGGAAAAAACAAAACCACCUGGUUGCCGUCUCUGUAUGUAGCCGGCACGCAGCUUGCCUUUCCACUCCCUCUCCUCGAACACCGGUCGUCACCGCGGUAAUUUUCCAACAAAUAUUCCAAGUGAAAGGGUUGCCGCGGAGCGCCGGGUGUACACGCGUGCGGCGAGAGAAAUCCACCGAGUCGUAUACAAUAAUAGCAAGA